ACUUUCAAAGGAUAGAAGUUAUCCAAUGGCUUUAGGGGCCAUCUUCCCUUGGUGCAACUCCAAGUGAGAGUA
Molecule: transfer RNA, 72 nt
Filed under: Pelomedusa subrufa
Lineage: Eukaryota; Metazoa; Chordata; Testudines; Pelomedusidae
Description: tRNA-Leu
Source: RNAcentral